This 519-nucleotide ribosomal RNA is filed under the name uncultured bacterium. RNAcentral describes it as "bacterial SSU rRNA". It matches the Rfam family "Bacterial small subunit ribosomal RNA", at positions 56 to 571 of the family's 1533-position model. The record is from RNAcentral.
UGCAAGUCGAACGGAACUCCUAUGAUUGAGGUUUCGGCCAAAAGAAUAGGAUGUUUAGUGGCGGACGGGUGAGUAACGCGUGAGUAACCUGCCUUGGAGUGGGGAAUAACACAGUGAAAACUGUGCUAAUACCGCAUAAUGCAUUUGUGUCGCAUGAUCCUGAAUGCCAAAGAUUUAUCGCUCUGAGAUGGACUCGCGUCUGAUUAGCUGGUUGGCGGGGUAACGGCCCACCAAGGCGACGAUCAGUAGCCGGACUGAGAGGUUGGCCGGCCACAUUGGGACUGAGACACGGCCCAGACUCCUACGGGAGGCAGCAGUGGGGAAUAUUGGGCAAUGGGCGCAAGCCUGACCCAGCAACGCCGCGUGAAGGAAGAAGGCUUUCGGGUUGUAAACUUCUUUUGUCAGGGACGAAGCAAGUGACGGUACCUGACGAAUAAGCCACGGCUAACUACGUGCCAGCAGCCGCGGUAAUACGUAGGUGGCAAGCGUUAUCCGGAUUUACUGGGUGUAAAGGGCGUG